UGGGGAAUCUUCCGCAAUGGACGAAAGUCUGACGGAGCAACGCCGCGUGAGUGAAGAAGGUUUUUCGGAUCGNAAAACUCUGUCUUUUGGGGGCGAACGUGAGUAUGGUGAACAAUCAUAGUCAGUGACGGUACCAAAGGGAGGAAGCCACGGCUAACUACGUGCCAGCAGCCGCGGUAAUACGUAGGUGGCAAGCGUUGUCCGGAAUUAUUGGGCGUAAAGAGCGCGUAGGCGGGAUAGUCAGUCUGUUGUAAAAGUGCGGGGCUCAACCCCGUGAUGGCAAUGGAAACAGCUAUUCUUGAGUGCAGGAGAGGAAAGGUGGAAUUCCCAGUGUAGCGGUGAAAUGCGUAGAUAUUGGGAGGAACACCAGUGGCGAAGGCGACUUUCUGGACUGUGUCUGACGCUGAGGCGCGAAAGCCAGGGGGAGCGAAC
This 432-nucleotide ribosomal RNA is filed under the name uncultured bacterium. RNAcentral describes it as "partial 16S ribosomal RNA". It matches the Rfam family "Bacterial small subunit ribosomal RNA", at positions 355 to 773 of the family's 1533-position model. The record is from RNAcentral.